Molecule: ribosomal RNA, 433 nt
Filed under: uncultured bacterium
Lineage: Bacteria
Description: partial 16S ribosomal RNA
Rfam family: Bacterial small subunit ribosomal RNA
Source: RNAcentral
AACGAACGCUGGCGGCAUGCCUAACACAUGCAAGUCGAACGAAGGCUUCGGCCUUAGUGGCGCAAGGGUGCGUAACGCGUGGGAAUCUGCCCUUUGGUUCGGAAUAACAGCUGGAAACGGCUGCUAAUACCGGAUGAUGACGAAAGUCCAAAGAUUUAUCGCCAGAGGAUGAGCCCGCGUUGGAUUAGGUAGUUGGUGGGGUAAAGGCCUACCAAGCCGACGAUCCAUAGCUGGUCUGAGAGGAUGAGCAGCCACACUGGGACUGAGACACGGCCCAGACUCCUACGGGAGGCAGCAGUGGGGAAUAUUGGACAAUGGGCGCAGGCCUGAUCCAGCAAUGCCGCGUGAGUGAUGAAGGCCCUAGGGUUGUAAAGCUCUUUUACCCGGGAAGAUAAUGACUGUACCGGGAGAAUAAGCCCCGGCUAACUCCGUG